GUGCUCACUUCGGCAGCACAUAUAUUAAAAUUAGAACGAUACAGAGAAGAUUAGCAUGGCCCCUGUGCAAGGAUGACAUGCAAAUUUGGGAAGCGUUCCAAAAAAAA
Molecule: small nuclear RNA, 107 nt
Organism: Camelus dromedarius (Arabian camel)
Lineage: Eukaryota; Metazoa; Chordata; Mammalia; Artiodactyla; Camelidae
Source: Ensembl